RNAcentral lists this long non-coding RNA (4898 nucleotides) under Paramuricea clavata. Lineage: Eukaryota; Metazoa; Cnidaria; Anthozoa; Malacalcyonacea; Plexauridae. The record is from RNAcentral.
UGCACUUUGUGUGUUCUAUAUUAUCAUAUACAGUAGUGUUGAUUUAUUAAUAAUAAAUCUGUGUAUAUAACAAAGGUAUAUAAAUAAAUAUAACGCGGCGAAUGCGCGUCAAGCAGUACUGAAACGCGGCCGAAAUAAAAACUAAAAACUGUGGUUAAUAGUCGUGUAUUAAAAUCUUGACUGAUGUGGCGUAUGAUUUAAUUAUGUUUUAGGAUUUAAAAAUGCUUUGUCAUUUGUAUUUAUACUUGUACUGCAUCACAAGGCAGUGCGUAAGUGAACAGAUUCUACAUGUGAAGUUGUCUUGUAUAUAUUUUUGCCUUCUUUGAUAAACAUUAUUAAACACGCAAAUUUAGUGAGACGAACACUGCACAUGUUAAAUGUUACCUGCAUGUCAUUGUCAUUGCCCUUUAACUCCUGGUCUAAUUCAAAGGUACGUUUUUGAAAGUGUUGAUGUAUAACUUAUGGAUGAUUCCAAUUCACUACAAAUAUUUCUUACUCUUAUUCUUUAAAAUAUUAAAGAUUCGGGAACAAUGCUAUACCAAGGCAGCAUUCACAAUCCUGUGGGUAAACUAGUUAAACCCAAAACGGAAUGGUCGCCCCGUCUAUUUAAUAAUGUUACUGAUUGCAGAACAAUUAAAGCUCAAUCCUUUUUUACAUUUAAAUACUCUUAAUAUGUUAAGAUUUUUUUUUAAUAUAUAUGAAAAUUGUAAAUAAUUAUGCAUGCACUAUUUACUAUUUUGGUAAAUGCCUAAUGAUUUUAACUCUUGUAAAUAGCCUAGAUUCUAAAGCAUAUUCAUGUACUAUUUUAUAACAUAUUCUUAUCUAUUGUAAAGUACUCGUUAAUUCAGUUGUUUCUGUAACUGCAAGAGAGUCCUAAUAAACUAUUAUUAUUAUUAUUAUUAUCAUAGGAAUGUACCAGUUGUGACUCUCGAUAUUUUUAACACGAACACGCUAUUUGUGAAUAUGUUGAUUAUCUAUCAAAAGUUAGAAAACUAAUGCCGAACACAAUUACAGUACAUCUUACUUGCAUUAUUAAUGUCAUCAAAUAUAACUUUCGCGAAGAUUGGAGCGCAUUAGAUAGUUGGAAGGCGUUUAUGUCGUGUAGAUCUUAUCAAAGGCAUUUGACGCGGCAAGCUAGAAUGAUCGCAAAGCUCGAUGUGUCGAAUGAGGAAGGAUUGUACAUGAAAAAGGCGUCGCAGAGAUUCUAUUUUAACCAUAUUUUAGACGCGCUUAGAAAUCUAAGAGCUAAGAUUUUCGAAACAACGGGCGUAGCAAAGGCCAGACACCUUCAUGAUUUCGUUUGCUGGCAACAAACACGAGGGUUAAUCCGGGCAGGUCUAAGGAAAUACGCACAUUACAAAUCUUCGUUGAGUCAGGGGAGAAUCCAUUUGACGUAAGUUCGUUUCUCCACACAAAUGUUAUUGUCUUUAGGGAAGGCACGACUGUGUUUUGAUCGAAAACGACUUCAAGACUGUUCAGUAAAUAGUCUAUUAUUUGCAUCAAUACAAUUUAGCUAAUGCCCAGUGACCCAGUCUUCUGCAAGCUAAGUCGCAUGCCUACUUUUUUCUCAACUACACCGGAGAACCAUUUAGGGAUAGUUCAAGUUUAUGCAAGCACCUGGGAGAUUUAUUCGACCGAGAAGUAUGUAUCCGUGUCUCCACAAACGUAUUACGACAUUCCAUAGUAACAUACUUUAAGACCUUAGAAGAUUCCGAGGACCUUAAGAUUGGGGAGUCCCUUGCUAGAUUAAUCGUAUCGUCGUCGUAUCGUAAAAAUUUAUUUCAAGACGCUAGCCUCAUCAACGUACGUUGGUUUUCAUGAGGGGCGUCGUCAUUUUAUGUACGAAGUAUUUACAACAAAAUACGUAAAAACAAAGAAAAACUAUUUACAAGAGUGCAUGCUGAAUACAGGAGGUGUGACCCAUACAUUAACAUUAGUAACGGAAUCAAAGAUUAAUAUUUUGUUUGAAAACAUGGAUUGAUUUGUGCCUCUUUUGCUUCCCGAGAAAGGGUAUUCCAAAGCUUUGGCCCGCUGUAUUUAAAAUCUUUUUUUAGGAAUUCCCUUCUCCGUUUUGGGAGAGCUAAAUCAGUAUUAGCUAUUUUUCAAGUUAUAGUUCGCUUGCGUUAAGCUACUCCCAAUCAUUGACUUUUUCAAGUUAGGAGCAGUAUAAUCGUUUAGAAUUUUACACAGAAGAAUGGACUUCAUCUUCUGAAUUCCACUUUUAAAAGUUUCCCAACCAAGAGUUUCAAGAACAACAGCAGAUUCAAUUUCGUAACUUCAGCGAGCAAUUAUUCUUGCCGAACGAUUUUGAAAUUUCUGAAUUUUAAUGAAACAUUCCCUAAGAUAUCAGCAGAUAUCAGCACGACGAUACGACAGCGCAGCAAAAGACACAACCAGCUAGGGAGCUAUUGCGUAGGAAACUGACAGCAGAUAUUUUUGGGCAAGCUCAUGUUGUGAUUACCGAAGAGAACGGUUUUAGGCUGGAUCCGCGCCUGAAAAAAAGUCUCAAAGUUACCUUGUCCGAAAAUUUACCCAAAAGCCACACCCUGGAAACUUCGAACAAGUUUAUUUAUAUUUCUCCUUUUGGUGUAUGUGAUUUAGUGGAACGCCAAGACUAAUACAUUCAGAACUUUCACCGGAAGGAAUCUAAAAACGUUUAUCCCUAAGGUAGAAUCGUUUACGAUUACCAGCCAGGUUGUUGAAACCGUACCUUUAGCUUCAACGGCCGUUUUGAAUAGUGAUGAAUAUCUUUCUAAAUAUACUCGCAAUUCCAAACAUUUCAAACAAAGUCAUUUAAUUGGAAUAAAUUUUCAGCAACAUGACAAAGACUACGAACAAGCUUUGAGACGCGUACCCUGCUUCGUAGCAGGAAGCAACAAACUCCAAUUAUUACGUUGAGCACAAUUGGUGGAGAAGCAUAACUACCACUCGCAACGCACGCUACGCAAGGAAAUCAACAAAAAACAUGCGAUCACACAAUCAGUAUUCACAGAGGUCACCGUAUCGCUGCACAAUAUAAACCCACAGGUAAUGAUUUACAUUUAUAUAUACGAAUGCGAUUCCCCAAUUUGGAUCGAUAAACUCUGGACGUUGGAAUCAAUUCGAACGAAAAAUACUCGAAUGGGAUAGAAAAAGCUGCCACAGCGCUCCUGUACAUAUUAUUGUUGGCGUUAUACCAUCAACGUAUGGAAAAAACGAUCCCAGAUUUGUUGGUGAAGCAGGAUUCAGUAACUAUCGUGGGCCAUCCAGGCUUUUCCCAGCUGUGAAGCCGUUUUCUCUGUGCUUUCUCAAUAACCUGUCAUUAUCUAAUUGUUUUAGUACUUAAUAUAAAUAGUAAAUCCACGAACGCUGUGUCAUAGGUGGGACUUGAAUAUGAUAUGGGGCCAAAGAAGAAAAAGAUUGGUUGAAAGUUUCCCUAAUGAGGGAGUCGUUUUCACACUUUAACCUGAAUUGGACGUAGGCGAGUUAAACGGAACAUUCCAUUGGCAUGACCAAAAUAAAAACAUGACUGAGAAAAAUAUCCGAAGGAAUCGUUGGUAUCUUGCCUUCUUUAAAUAACCAUUUUAAAAGCUAAAAGAUAUUGUAAUCUUUACACAAUUCUUAAUUUUUGUAUAAUUCCUUAUUUUCUGUGUAAUUGCUGCGGAGCGAGCGAACCUGAAGCGAGCGAGCGUAGCAGCAACAUAAUAUACGCAGAGAGGGGGUUUUGAACUAAAUUUUAUUUAGCGCAUGGAAUUGUGGUCGUGCGCGAUUUCUAUGCGCAGAACACACAUUUUAAACUCGUUCGAAUCUUUGAUUUUUACCGAAUUUCUAAAGCUUUUUCAUGUCUAAUGUUACGCUUACAUUUGUAUUGGACUUUGGCCACUGUCAGUUCUAUAUUUUUAUAAAGUUUUGGUUUCUUAGUGUGAUAAAUCUGUGUAUAUAGUCUAUAUAGUGUGGUAAAUGCGCCUAGCAGUAAACAGACUUGAUAUGAAAUCUGAUCUUAAUUUACCUGUAUGUCAAUGAGAAAGACGCACAUGUUUAAUAUCUGUCACCUCUGAUUGCCCUUUAACCCCUGGUCUUUGCUACUUCAAUAUAUAUUGCUUCUUCUCAGUUCCAUUCACAGCUCACUAGUCGCUGCGAGUAAUCACUGUGCUUGAUAUAAUCUGUGCUGUUUACUGUAGUUCUAUUUGCUUUUAAUGCCCGCAGCAAUCCCUACCUUGCAGGUACCCUAGUUGUAUAUUGUUGUUGCAUUUCACGGUGUAGUGGUGUAAUUUGUAAAUUUUGUAAAUAUAAAAGUAAAUUUAUUCUUUUGUAUUAAUUCAUAGAUUCGUGAGACAAUUGUUGUAACAUAAUGCAUGUAAUACCAGGUACAUUUUAAUAUUGUUAGUUUUAAGCAAAUGUGUAAAUAAUUUCGCAAUUCUCUUUCGAGCGCGACGAUUUUAUAAUAAACCCUUGAUUGAUUUUCAUGUGAUGUGAAUCACUCAUGAACGUUUUCGUUCAUGGUUUGUCCUCCGAGAGCGCAUGCUCCAAAACCCUACUCAGCUUGUGGAAAUUCACCGCAACAACUCAUUCCGAACGCCACUUACUACGAGUGCCAAAACAAUCCCUUCAUCUCUGGGACGCCGACGCUGGCGAGAUCAGAUUAUCACGGCCAGACACGCAACUGUCAAGUCUGGUAACUCAGAGCAAAACCAUCAGACUUCGUAUGUUGAACUCGGACAGUCUUGAGACCGAAUACUCUGCGCGUAUAUACAAUCCAAAAAUUCCAUGGAGUACCACGCGUUUUUGACACGUCAUAUCGGGACAGAGUAAAACGCCUAACUACAUGCCAGACCUGUUUGUCGCCAGUCAUAAUGACAUGUAUCAAUUAAGAAGUAAUGAUCGAAAACUUUAUUUAAACAAACCAAACACAAACUUUA